GCUCCCAUCGUCUAGCGGUUAGGACGUCGCCCUCUCACGGCGAAAACUGGGGUUCGAUUCCCCAUGGGAGCG
Molecule: transfer RNA, 72 nt
Filed under: Syntrichia caninervis
Lineage: Eukaryota; Viridiplantae; Streptophyta; Bryopsida; Pottiales; Pottiaceae
Also listed under: 5 other names
Description: tRNA-Glu (CTC) (tRNA-Glu-CTC-2-1)
Rfam family: tRNA
About the family: Transfer RNA (tRNA) molecules are approximately 80 nucleotides in length. Their secondary structure includes four short double-helical elements and three loops (D, anti-codon, and T loops). Further hydrogen bonds mediate the characteristic L-shaped molecular structure. tRNAs have two regions of fundamental functional importance: the anti-codon, which is responsible for specific mRNA codon recognition, and the 3' end, to which the tRNAs corresponding amino acid is attached (by aminoacyl-tRNA synthetases). tRNAs cope with the degeneracy of the genetic code in two manners: having more than one tRNA (with a specific anti-codon) for a particular amino acid; and 'wobble' base-pairing, i.e. permitting non-standard base-pairing at the 3rd anti-codon position.
Source: RNAcentral